CAUCAAACCCAUUUUUUCUUUAAUUUAAUCAUCUUUGCAAACCUCACCAGACACCAGCAGAGGGAUCUGCCUCUCAAUUCACCAGUCCAAUCUUCACUACUCUCUCUCUCUCUCUCUCUCUCUCUAUAUAUAUAUAUAUAUGUAAGCAUAAUCCAUAGAGGAGUUGUCUCGAAUACAUACAGCGGUGAACAUAUGGACGAUAUUGGAAUUUGAAAGAGAAGUUCGCUAUGGAUCUCUCAGCAGCAACUUCGUCUUCUCUCACAUCGGCCUCUUCACCCUCGGCUUCCUCGACCUCGUGGUUUUCCGGCAUCGUUCGCGGCCGCGGAGACCGUUCCGGAAGCGUGAAAAUGGCGAGCAGCUCCGCUGGCGGCGGCGGCGGCGGCGACGGCCUCUGCCCAAUCAAUCGGAAGAAGCAGUUCCGUGGCGUGAUGUUCAAGUACGGCCCCAAGCCCAUUCAGGUUGCUUUUAAAACAGGUGAUUAUAAACAGCAAGUUAUUUUUAUUGGUGGAUUAACAGAUGGAUUUUUGGCUACUGAAUACUUAGAACCUCUGGCAAUUGCUUUGGACAAAGAGAAAUGGUCUCUGGUUCAGUUUUUGCUCUCAUCUUCUUAUAGUGGAUAUGGCAUCUCAAGCUUGAAGCAGGAUGCCAUGGAGCUUGACCAGCUGAUCAGUUAUUUGAUUAACAAGGAAGAUUCAGAGGGUGUGGUGCUGCUUGGGCACAGUACUGGCUGUCAGGAUAUUGCAUAUUACAUGCGGACAAGUGCUGCAUGCUCCAGAGCAGUGCGUGCUGCUAUCUUGCAGGCUCCUGUUAGUGAUCGUGAAUAUAGAGCAACUCUUCCUGAGACAGCUGCUAUGAUUGACUUGGCUUCAAAAAUGAUCAGUGAAGGCCAGGGGUCAGAAUUGAUGCCAAGGGAAGCAAAUCCAGAUGCUCCAAUCACUGCUUAUAGAUAUCACUCCCUUUGUGCAUACAAUGGGGAUGACGACAUGUUUAGUUCCGAUCUUAGUGAUGAUCAGCUGAGAAUGAGACUUGGGCACAUGUCUAAUACUCCUUGCCAGGUUAUCUUUUCAAUGUCUGAUGAAUAUGUGCCAGAUUAUGUUGACAAGAAAGCACUAGUUGACAGAUUGUGCAGAGCAAUGGGUGGUGCAGAGAAAGUUGAAAUCCAAUGGGGAAACCAUUCCUUGUCUAAUAGAGCUGAAGAAGCUGUCCAGGCCGUAAUAAACUUUGUUAAAAGAGAGGGACCAAGUGGAUGGGAUGAUCCCUGGAACUAACAUGACUUGUUCAUGGACCACAAAGACAAAAGCAGAAAGGAAAGAAAUGAUAGGAAAAGAACAAUUAGUGGACAAAGCUCAAUAGGUAAAAGGGCAUUGGUAAAGUUGAGGAAAUGUGACAGAGAAGAGAGAGAGAUGGAAGGAACAGCUCACAAGGUUUGAUGAUGGGUUGGCCUUUUAAGAAAAACAACAAUUAUUAGGUUGUGAAGAAGGGUACAAUUUGCAGGAAAUUACUAUCAAUAUGUUUCGGCAAUUCAGUUGCUUUUGGGGCACUUUUUUUCUUAUUUUACUAAUAUAUUACUAUCAUUAGUAGCACAUUCUAUUACUUUCAAAAAUUAUUUUCAUUUCCCUCUGAAUUUUGUAUGCAUCUCUACUUUUCUUUCAAGCAUAAUAUGCACAGAUCUUUUGGUCAA
Molecule: RNA transcript, 1681 nt
Organism: Diospyros lotus (date-plum)
Lineage: Eukaryota; Viridiplantae; Streptophyta; Magnoliopsida; Ericales; Ebenaceae
Gene name: UPF0613 protein PB24D3.06c-like
Exons: 11
Source: RefSeq, a predicted model, not a curated record